This 449-nucleotide ribosomal RNA is filed under the name uncultured bacterium. RNAcentral describes it as "partial 16S ribosomal RNA". It matches the Rfam family "Bacterial small subunit ribosomal RNA", at positions 29 to 523 of the family's 1533-position model. The record is from RNAcentral.
AACGAACGCUGGCGGCAUGCCUAACACAUGCAAGUCGAACGAGAUCUUCGGGUCUAGUGGCGCACGGGUGCGUAACGCGUGGGAAUCUGCCCUUUGGUUCGGAAUAACAGUUGGAAACGACUGCUAAUACCGGAUGAUGACGAAAGUCCAAAGAUUUAUCGCCAGAGGAUGAGCCCGCGUAGGAUUAACUAGUUGGUGUGGUAAAGGCGCACCAAGGCGACGAUCCUUAGCUGGUCUGAGAGGAUGAUCAGCCACACUGGGACUGAGACACGGCCCAGACUCCUACGGGAGGCAGCAGUGGGGAAUAGUGGACAAUGGGCGAAAGCCUGAUCCAGCAAUGCCGCGUGAGUGAUGAAGGCCUUAGGGUUGUAAAGCUCUUUUACCCGGGAUGAUAAUGACAGUAUCGGGAGAAUAAGCUCCGGCUAACUCCGUGCCAGCCGCCGCCGUAA